Fukomys damarensis (Damara mole-rat) is the source of this 560-nucleotide long non-coding RNA. RefSeq lists it as uncharacterized. The transcript has 3 exons. Lineage: Eukaryota; Metazoa; Chordata; Mammalia; Rodentia; Bathyergidae. The record is from RefSeq and is a predicted model, not a curated record.
UUUAAAAUCCAGACCAUAACAAUCAUCAUUUCUAAGAAGAAUUUUUUAGCCAAGUUAAAUGAUCUCUGGACUACCAUUGUAUAUUCUUGUUUCAUUGAUUUUCAUGUUAGUUAUGUUAGGUAUACAAGGUCCUCUGAGCCCCUGUAUGAUCCUUAGGGCAAGAAAUUCAUAGUGGAUUCGUGUGUUAUUUAGAUCUCCUCUCAAACACUCCACCCCCAAAAGUGAAACUGAGACCAAGUUUUCUAUGCAGGUUUCUCAUUUGGAGAAGUAAUGUCAGAGCUCCCAGGAGAAGGGAAUGAGAACAGUGAAAUAAGGAAAAAGAAAAAAUCUGUGCACAUGUCAGAAUGGUUGAACAAGCUUCAAGAACCUUUUCGUGAAGUGGUAUCAGUGAAGCCAUGUGAAAUAAAGUGAGAGAGACACCGUGCAGCUCUGACAAGAUGCUGUCAGUCUACACUUGUCCACAGCUGGAGCCCCAAGUAGGAAGGUUUGGUAGUAAUUCAUUCUUCACCCAGGCAGAAUCAUGCCCGCUGUAUGAGAUAAAAGCAUGAAAUUGGAGAGUU